GGGCCCGUAGCUCAGUUGGCCAGAGCACUGGUUUUGCAUACCAGGGGUCAGGAGUUCAAAUCUCCUCGGGUCCACCA
Molecule: transfer RNA, 77 nt
Filed under: Candidatus Tagabacteria bacterium CG09_land_8_20_14_0_10_41_14
Lineage: Bacteria; Candidatus Tagaibacteriota
Also listed under: 1 other name
Description: tRNA-Ala
Rfam family: tRNA
About the family: Transfer RNA (tRNA) molecules are approximately 80 nucleotides in length. Their secondary structure includes four short double-helical elements and three loops (D, anti-codon, and T loops).
Source: RNAcentral